GCAGAUCAUCUUUGCAUUAACUUAAUGUACUAUUCUUGAUAUGGUUCUAUUUCUUUCAUAUUCAACUUUACACAUCUGUAGAUUUCCAUGGUUGCAUCAAGUUCCAAAGGUAAAUAAUUUUUUCUUACCUUCAUAUAUAUUAUUUCACUAUGUAUAAUUUGAAGUUGAUUGUGCUAAAGAGACCAUCUUCCACGAUUUAUGAAUGGAGAUCAUUUCCUACUAUUUAUCCACCAUCGCACACGCCUUAUUAAUUUCUUAGUCUUUGAGCUUAUGUUGUUUUAUCCUGAUAUUGGAGGAUGCGAUAUACAAAAGCAGGAAAUUUAUGAAGCCAUCGAGUUACCUCUGAGUCAUCAUGAGUUGUACAAGCAGAUUGCUAUAGAUCCUUCCUAUGGCGUGUUGCUCUAUGGUCCACAAGGCACUGGAAAAACCAUGCUUGCAAAGGUUGUAGUACAUCAUACCACCACGACCUUUAUAAGGGUAGUUGGUGGUGGUAUAAGGACAGUAAAAUAAGCAAGCACUUGUGGAAAACUAAUGAACAUGAUUAGAGUGUCUAUUCAAUGUAUUGAGAUAUAAUAUAAAGUCUAUUUGUCGAAAGCUACUUAUUUUGAUCUUAAAUUGAGAGGAUGGUUUCUUAUUGG
This is a long non-coding RNA of Solanum tuberosum (potato), 638 nucleotides long. RefSeq lists it as uncharacterized. The transcript has 2 exons. The record is from RefSeq and is a predicted model, not a curated record. Lineage: Eukaryota; Viridiplantae; Streptophyta; Magnoliopsida; Solanales; Solanaceae.